GCUGAAGAUGCUGAGAUGGGCCCUAAAAAGUUCUACAAGUA
This 41-nucleotide transfer RNA is filed under the name Xenorhina sp. TNHC-GDC 31177. RNAcentral's name for it is "partial tRNA-Phe". Lineage: Eukaryota; Metazoa; Chordata; Amphibia; Anura; Microhylidae. The record is from RNAcentral.